Molecule: non-coding RNA, 90 nt
Filed under: Pseudomonas tolaasii NCPPB 2192
Lineage: Bacteria; Pseudomonadati; Pseudomonadota; Gammaproteobacteria; Pseudomonadales; Pseudomonadaceae
Source: RNAcentral
UGUGGGAGCUGGCUUGCCUGCGAUAUCGGUGUGUCAGGCGACAGAUAUGUCGACUGUCAGGCUCUUAUCGCAGGCAAGCCAGCUCCCACA